Long non-coding RNA from Pteropus alecto (black flying fox), 860 nucleotides. RefSeq lists it as uncharacterized. NCBI's taxonomy places the organism in Eukaryota, Metazoa, Chordata, Mammalia, Chiroptera, Pteropodidae. The record is from RefSeq and is a predicted model, not a curated record. The transcript is spliced from 2 exons.
GAACUCUGGCUGAGCUGUACGGGGCCAAGGAGCCCCCGGCCCCCUGAGAGCCAGGCUGUCUUGCCCGGCAUGGUGGGGUAGCCCGCACAGGCCCUCUAAAUGGGCACCCUGAGGUCCGGGCAGGCGGCAGCAGCCGAGGGACCCCAGGGUCCUCCCCUCCCUGUGUCCCUCCUCCCAGCUCCCCCAGAGCAACCUCCUCCUUACCUCCCUCUCCCUGAGUUGCUGUCUCUAUCCAGGGAUCUCUGUCUCUGUCUGUAACACUCCCCGUCUGGGUCUGGGUUCUGUGGCUCCAACUCUAAAUCUCUAUGUUCUGUCACUGUGAUUCCACUUUUUCCGUGACUCUGUUUUUGUCUCUUGGAUUCUAAAUCUCUCAUACAUGCUCUCUCUGUCAUCCUUGCCCCAACACACAUGCUCUGUGUCUGUCCCCUGCCCACAUCUGCCUCCAUUCUUUCUGGGUCCCUGUGACUGGCUUUUUGAUUUUUUCCAUUGUCAAUCCCAAAAGCAAGAGAAACUUCCAGCCACUGCUGCCCACCCUCCUGCAGCGGAUGUUCUGCCCCAGACCUGCCCGCAUGGUUCCAUCCAUCACUCAUGGCCUCAUCCUAUCUGUACUGGCCUCCAGCAGAGAGAGCGAGCCUGCCAACCUCCCAGGGGAGAGCUCCAGCCCCCCGCGUGGCCGCCUCCCUGGAGCUCUGCCUGUCUGUUGGCAUCCCAGCUCUGGGCAUUGUCUUGUGUGCUUCCCAGGCCCCAAGGAGAAGGGAAGGGAAGGAAAGCGGGAGGCAGCUGGGGAAGGGGAAAGAGGGAGGAAGGGGAGGGGCCUCCAUCUCUAAUUUCAUAAUAAACAAACACUUUAUUUUGUAGAA